AUAACAAUACAGGACUCUUUAGAGUCCCUGUAAUUGUAAUUAGUCCACUUUAAAUCCUUUAACUCUGAUCAAUUGGAGGGAAAGUCUGGUGCAGAGCCAA
This is a non-coding RNA of Pelobates cultripes (western spadefoot toad), 100 nucleotides long. The record is from the annotation of a GenBank genome assembly. NCBI's taxonomy places the organism in Eukaryota, Metazoa, Chordata, Amphibia, Anura, Pelobatidae.